GAUCCAGAGAUUUCCGAAUGGGGAAACCCAGCAUGAGUUAUGUCAUGUUAUCGAUAUGUGAAUACAUAGCAUAUCAGAAGGCACACCCGGAGAACUGAAACAUCUUAGUACCCGGAGGAAGAGAAAGAAAAUUCGAUUCCCUUAGUAGCGGCGAGCGAAAUGGGAAGAGCCCAAACCAACAAGCUUGCUUGUUGGGGUUGUAGGACACUCUAUACGGAGUUACAAAGGACGACAUUAGACGAAUCAUCUGGAAAGAUGAAUCAAAGAAGGUAAUAAUCCUGUAGUCGAAAAUGUUGUCUCUCUUGAGUGGAUCCUGAGUACGACGGAGCACGUGAAAUUCCGUCGGAAUCUGGGAGGACCAUCUCCUAAGGCUAAAUACUCUCUAGUGACCGAUAGUGAACCAGUACCGUGAGGGAAAGGUGAAAAGCACCCCGGAAGGGGAGUGAAAUAGAACCUGAAACCGUGUGCUUACAAGUAGUCAGAGCCCGUUAAUGGGUGAUGGCGUGCCUUUUGUAGAAUGAACCGGCGAGUUACGAUUUGAUGCAAGGUUAAGCAGUAAAUGUGGAGCCGUAGCGAAAGCGAGUCUGAAUAGGGCGUUUAGUAUUUGGUCGUAGACCCGAAACCAGGUGAUCUACCCUUGGUCAGGUUGAAGUUCAGGUAACACUGAAUGGAGGACCGAACCGACUUACGUUGAAAAGUGAGCGGAUGAACUGAGGGUAGCGGAGAAAUUCCAAUCGAACCUGGAGAUAGCUGGUUCUCUCCGAAAUAGCUUUAGGGCUAGCCUCAAGUGAUGAUUAUUGGAGGUAGAGCACUGUUUGGACGAGGGGCCCCUCUCGGGUUACCGAAUUCAGACAAACUCCGAAUGCCAAUUAAUUUAACUUGGGAGUCAGAACAUGGGUGAUAAGGUCCGUGUUCGAAAGGGAAACAGCCCAGACCACCAGCUAAGGUCCCAAAAUAUAUGUUAAGUGGAAAAGGAUGUGGCGUUGCCCAGACAACUAGGAUGUUGGCUUAGAAGCAGCCAUCAUUUAAAGAGUGCGUAAUAGCUCACUAGUCGAGUGACACUGCGCCGAAAAUGUACCGGGGCUAAACAUAUUACCGAAGCUGUGGAUUGUCCUUUGGACAAUGGUAGGAGAGCGUUCUAAGGGCGUUGAAGCAUGAUCGUAAGGACAUGUGGAGCGCUUAGAAGUGAGAAUGCCGGUGUGAGUAGCGAAAGACGGGUGAGAAUCCCGUCCACCGAUUGACUAAGGUUUCCAGAGGAAGGCUCGUCCGCUCUGGGUUAGUCGGGUCCUAAGCUGAGGCCGACAGGCGUAGGCGAUGGAUAACAGGUUGAUAUUCCUGUACCACCUAUAAUCGUUUUAAUCGAUGGGGGGACGCAGUAGGAUAGGCGAAGCGUGCGAUUGGAUUGCACGUCUAAGCAGUAAGGCUGAGUAUUAGGCAAAUCCGGUACUCGUUAAGGCUGAGCUGUGAUGGGGAGAAGACAUUGUGUCUUCGAGUCGUUGAUUUCACACUGCCGAGAAAAGCCUCUAGAUAGAAAAUAGGUGCCCGUACCGCAAACCGACACAGGUAGUCAAGAUGAGAAUUCUAAGGUGAGCGAGCGAACUCUCGUUAAGGAACUCGGCAAAAUGACCCCGUAACUUCGGGAGAAGGGGUGCUCUUUAGGGUUAACGCCCAGAAGAGCCGCAGUGAAUAGGCCCAAGCGACUGUUUAUCAAAAACACAGGUCUCUGCUAAACCGUAAGGUGAUGUAUAGGGGCUGACGCCUGCCCGGUGCUGGAAGGUUAAGAGGAGUGGUUAGCUUCUGCGAAGCUACGAAUCGAAGCCCCAGUAAACGGCGGCCGUAACUAUAACGGUCCUAAGGUAGCGAAAUUCCUUGUCGGGUAAGUUCCGACCCGCACGAAAGGCGUAACGAUUUGGGCACUGUCUCAACGAGAGACUCGGUGAAAUCAUAGUACCUGUGAAGAUGCAGGUUACCCGCGACAGGACGGAAAGACCCCGUGGAGCUUUACUGUAGCCUGAUAUUGAAAUUCGGCACAGCUUGUACAGGAUAGGUAGGAGCCUUUGAAACGUGAGCGCUAGCUUACGUGGAGGCGCUGGUGGGAUACUACCCUAGCUGUGUUGGCUUUCUAACCCGCACCACUUAUCGUGGUGGGAGACAGUGUCAGGCGGGCAGUUUGACUGGGGCGGUCGCCUCCUAAAAGGUAACGGAGGCGCUCAAAGGUUCCCUCAGAAUGGUUGGAAAUCAUUCAUAGAGUGUAAAGGCAUAAGGGAGCUUGACUGCGAGACCUACAAGUCGAGCAGGGUCGAAAGACGGACUUAGUGAUCCGGUGGUUCCGCAUGGAAGGGCCAUCGCUCAACGGAUAAAAGCUACCCCGGGGAUAACAGGCUUAUCUCCCCCAAGAGUUCACAUCGACGGGGAGGUUUGGCACCUCGAUGUCGGCUCAUCGCAUCCUGGGGCUGUAGUCGGUCCCAAGGGUUGGGCUGUUCGCCCAUUAAAGCGGUACGCGAGCUGGGUUCAGAACGUCGUGAGACAGUUCGGUCCCUAUCCGUCGUGGGCGUAGGAAAUUUGAGAGGAGCUGUCCUUAGUACGAGAGGACCGGGAUGGACAUACCUCUGGUGUACCAGUUGUCGUGCCAACGGCAUAGCUGGGUAGCUAUGUGUGGACGGGAUAAGUGCUGAAAGCAUCUAAGCAUGAAGCCCCCCUCAAGAUGAGAUUUCCCAACUUCGGUUAUAAGAUCCCUCAAAGAUGAUGAGGUUAAUAGGUUCGAGGUGGAAGCAUGGUGACAUGUGGAGCUGACGAAUACUAAUCGAUCGAAGACUUAAUCAA
RNAcentral lists this ribosomal RNA (2823 nucleotides) under Staphylococcus aureus. RNAcentral's name for it is "partial 23S ribosomal RNA". It matches the Rfam family "Bacterial large subunit ribosomal RNA". The record is from RNAcentral. Lineage: Bacteria; Bacillati; Bacillota; Bacilli; Caryophanales; Staphylococcaceae.